GCCAAAGUGGUAUAGUGGUUUGGGCAUUGGACUAUUACUCAGGAGACCAGGGUUGAAAUCCCUGCUUAGCCA
Non-coding RNA from Phrynosoma platyrhinos (Desert horned lizard), 72 nucleotides. Lineage: Eukaryota; Metazoa; Chordata; Lepidosauria; Squamata; Phrynosomatidae. The record is from the annotation of a GenBank genome assembly.